This 1549-nucleotide ribosomal RNA is filed under the name Escherichia coli. Its description in RNAcentral is "partial 23S ribosomal RNA". It matches the Rfam family "Bacterial large subunit ribosomal RNA", at positions 604 to 2136 of the family's 2925-position model. The record is from RNAcentral. Lineage: Bacteria; Pseudomonadati; Pseudomonadota; Gammaproteobacteria; Enterobacterales; Enterobacteriaceae.
CCUUUUGUAUAAUGGGUCAGCGACUUAUAUUCUGUAGCAAGGUUAACCGAAUAGGGGAGCCGAAGGGAAACCGAGUCUUAACUGGGCGUUAAGUUGCAGGGUAUAGACCCGAAACCCGGUGAUCUAGCCAUGGGCAGGUUGAAGGUUGGGUAACACUAACUGGAGGACCGAACCGACUAAUGUUGAAAAAUUAGCGGAUGACUUGUGGCUGGGGGUGAAAGGCCAAUCAAACCGGGAGAUAGCUGGUUCUCCCCGAAAGCUAUUUAGGUAGCGCCUCGUGAAUUCAUCUCCGGGGGUAGAGCACUGUUUCGGCAAGGGGGUCAUCCCGACUUACCAACCCGAUGCAAACUGCGAAUACCGGAGAAUGUUAUCACGGGAGACACACGGCGGGUGCUAACGUCCGUCGUGAAGAGGGAAACAACCCAGACCGCCAGCUAAGGUCCCAAAGUCAUGGUUAAGUGGGAAACGAUGUGGGAAGGCCCAGACAGCCAGGAUGUUGGCUUAGAAGCAGCCAUCAUUUAAAGAAAGCGUAAUAGCUCACUGGUCGAGUCGGCCUGCGCGGAAGAUGUAACGGGGCUAAACCAUGCACCGAAGCUGCGGCAGCGACGCUUAUGCGUUGUUGGGUAGGGGAGCGUUCUGUAAGCCUGUGAAGGUGUGCUGUGAGGCAUGCUGGAGGUAUCAGAAGUGCGAAUGCUGACAUAAGUAACGAUAAAGCGGGUGAAAAGCCCGCUCGCCGGAAGACCAAGGGUUCCUGUCCAACGUUAAUCGGGGCAGGGUGAGUCGACCCCUAAGGCGAGGCCGAAAGGCGUAGUCGAUGGGAAACAGGUUAAUAUUCCUGUACUUAGUGUUACUGCGAAGGGGGGACGGAGAAGGCUAUGUUGGCCGGGCGACGGUUGUCCCGGUUUAAGCGUGUAGGCUGGUUUUCCAGGCAAAUCCGGAAAAUCAAGGCUGAGGCGUGAUGACGAGGCACUACGGUGCUGAAGCAACAAAUGCCCUGCUUCCAGGAAAAGCCUCUAAGCAUCAGGUAACAUCAAAUCGUACCCCAAACCGACACAGGUGGUCAGGUAGAGAAUACCAAGGCGCUUGAGAGAACUCGGGUGAAGGAACUAGGCAAAAUGGUGCCGUAACUUCGGGAGAAGGCACGCUGAUAUGUAGGUGAGGUCCCUCGCGGAUGGAGCUGAAAUCAGUCGAAGAUACCAGCUGGCUGCAACUGUUUAUUAAAAACACAGCACUGUGCAAACACGAAAGUGGACGUAUACGGUGUGACGCCUGCCCGGUGCCGGAAGGUUAAUUGAUGGGGUUAGCGGUAACGCGAAGCUCUUGAUCGAAGCCCCGGUAAACGGCGGCCGUAACUAUAACGGUCCUAAGGUAGCGAAAUUCCUUGUCGGGUAAGUUCCGACCUGCACGAAUGGCGUAAUGAUGGCCAGGCUGUCUCCACCCGAGACUCAGUGAAAUUGAACUCGCUGUGAAGAUGCAGUGUACCCGCGGCAAGACGGAAAGACCCCGUGAACCUUUACUAUAGCUUGACACUGAACAUUGAGCCUUGAUG